GCAGAUCCUGGACGAGCCCCCAAC
This 24-nucleotide unclassified non-coding RNA is filed under the name Mus musculus (house mouse). Its description in RNAcentral is "oocyte_clustered_small_RNA3738". The record is from RNAcentral. Lineage: Eukaryota; Metazoa; Chordata; Mammalia; Rodentia; Muridae.